ACUGCUCAGUAACACGUGGAUAACCUACCCUUGGGACGGGGAUAAACCCGGGAAACUGGGUAUAAUACCCGAUAGUCCUCGAAUGCUGGAAUGCGUCGAGGGCGAAAGCUCCGGCGCCCAAGGAUGGGUCUGCGGCCUAUCAGGUAGUAGUGGGUGUAAUGGACCUACUAGCCUACAACGGGUACGGGUUGUGAGAGCAAGAGCCCGGAGAUGGAUUCUGAGACACGAAUCCAGGCCCUACGGGGUGCAGCAGGCGCGAAACCUUUACAAUGCUGGCAACAGCGAUAGGGGGACCUCGAGUGCCAGGUUACAAAUCUGGCUGUCGUUGUGUCUAAAAAGCACGGCAUAGCAAGGGCCGGGCAAGACCGGUGCCAGCCGCCGCGGUAACACCGGCGGCUCGAGUGGUAACCGCUAUUAUUGGGUCUAAAGGGUCUGUAGCCGGCUGAAAAAGUCUCUUGGGAAAUCCGAUAGCUUAACUAUCGGGCUUUCAGGAGAUACUCUUCGGCUCGAGACCGGGAGAGGUGAGAGGUACUUCAUGGGUAGGGGUGAAAUCUUGUAAUCCUUGAAGGACCACCAGUGGCGAAGGCGUCUCACCAGAACGGAUCUGACGGCAAGGGACGAAAGCUAGGGGCACGAACCGGAUUAGAUACCCGGGUAGUCCUAGCCGUAAACGAUACUCGCUAGGUGUCGGCCACGGUGCGACCGUGGUCGGUGCCGUAGGGAAGCCGUGAAGCGAGCCACCUGGGAAGUACGGCCGCAAGGCUGAACUUAAAGGAAUUGGCGGGGGAGCA
This 791-nucleotide ribosomal RNA is filed under the name uncultured archaeon. RNAcentral describes it as "bacterial SSU rRNA". It matches the Rfam family "Archaeal small subunit ribosomal RNA", at positions 85 to 878 of the family's 1478-position model. The record is from RNAcentral.